CCAACUCCAGAGCGUGUAAACGAGCAUGCCAACCGCGUGGUCACCGCGUGACUGUGGCAUUGCCACGCAUUCUGGACAGCGUAGGCAUGUCUGGUGGGUUGAUCACUCCCACGUUAUGUGUUAGUAAGAAUAAUAGAACAGAAGAAUCUCACGAGUAGACUGAAAUAAGCUCAAACAUGAAUUAGCAGCCAAGUGUUUGAUCAGUGGUGGGGGAAAUUUACAUGGCCAAUGGGCCUAAUUUUUGGGUGAGAAUGAUCAUCUACUAAGGAGACUGUCUUGGCAAAUUUUCAGCUCAAAUGAAGGAGCCUAGGUGGCACUUGCUUUGGAAAGUACCAGACUGGGCAGAAAUAUGGAUGUUGAAGCUGAGCUCAAAUGAAUGAAUGGAUUGAUCUAAAAUUUGGUGGAGGAUGGUGAUUUGGGCAU
This 423-nucleotide long non-coding RNA is filed under the name Hordeum vulgare. RNAcentral's name for it is "long non-coding RNA (HVUL_LNC015916)". The record is from RNAcentral. Lineage: Eukaryota; Viridiplantae; Streptophyta; Magnoliopsida; Poales; Poaceae.